This 372-nucleotide ribosomal RNA is filed under the name uncultured organism. RNAcentral describes it as "bacterial SSU rRNA". It matches the Rfam family "Bacterial small subunit ribosomal RNA", at positions 526 to 896 of the family's 1533-position model. The record is from RNAcentral.
CGUAGGUGGCAAGCGAUACUCGGAAUCACUAGGCGUAAAGCGCAGGUAGGAGGUUGGAUAAGUCUCUUGUGAAAGCUCCCGGCUUAACUGGGAGAGGUCAAGGGAAACUAUUCGGCUAGAGUGUGGUAGAGGAAGAUGGAAUUCCCGGUGUAGCGGUGAAAUGCGUAGAUAUCGGGAGGAAUACCUAUGGCGAAAGCAGUCUUCUGGACCAUCACUGACUCUGAUCUGCGAAAGCUAGGGGAGCAAACAGGAUUAGAUACCCUGGUAGUCCUAGCCCUAAACGAUGCUCAUUAGGUGUGGGAGGUAUCGACCCCUUCCGCGCCGUAGCUAACGCAUUAAAUGAGCCGCCUGGGGAGUACGGCCGCAAGGUUG